This 104-nucleotide small nuclear RNA is filed under the name Propithecus coquereli (Coquerel's sifaka). The record is from RNAcentral. Lineage: Eukaryota; Metazoa; Chordata; Mammalia; Primates; Indriidae.
UCGCUUCAGCAGCACAUGUACUAAAAAUUGGAGUGAUACAGAGAAGAUUAGCAUGGACCCUGCACAAGAAUGACACACACAUUUAUGAAGCAUUCCAUAUAAAA